CGGAAGCGCACAGAGGUUUCAGUGCUGCCUGGCAGGGGAAACCCACCCUGCUGAGAGCCCACCCAGAGUGGGGAAAGCCAGGUGUCUCAAGGCAGCAUUCCUAUCUCAACAUGCCCCUCUCUAGAGCCUCUCUUUGCUUUCAAAGUGACAGGACCCUCCUCCCAGCCCUGGGCACAUAAAGCUCAAAUCUCAUUACCAUGCUGUGGGCCAGCAGCCAGCAUCCUUUUGCAAAGCAAGGCCCCCAUCUCUGUGCACCUCUAGGCUACCAUCUUGGAUCAGCCCCAACAGAACCUGGAACCAGAGCAUGUCAGAGCUUGUGAGGUUCUCCUCUCAGUGGGUGGUGAGUCACUCGCCACCCAUAUACCCAUGUCAGAGCCUCAGUUUUCUUUUCCCCAACUGCUCCUUCAUUCUCUCCCCUUCUCUAAUCUAAUUUGUCACCAUAGUCUCCUGUCUGGCCUCCUGAGAAUCUCCGUGAAUCUGUCUACUUCUCAGGGUCCUCAUGGCCAGCCACUGCCCUGAUGCAGGCCCUGACCAGGGAUGCUUUUCCCAAAUCUAGAUCUGAUGGAGUCACUGCCUGCUUGGCACCCAGAAGCAGCUCUCCAGGCCUUCUGGGGCUACUGAGAGUGAGAGACCUAGAGGGGUCUCUAGGACUCACCACACUCUGCCCAAAGCAGAUUAGGUGAACAAACUCCUUAAUCUGCAAGUCAAGAUCUUGGAGGACUUGGACCUUGAAUGCUCCAGUUUGUUUCGCUACCAUCCUCUGCACCUGGAGUUUCCCCACCAACUCACCCACCCAUUCUCACUUCUGUGCCUCUGCUGUUUCCUGGGCCUGGAAGCCCUUCUGUGUACCUUCCUCCGUGGACAACUCCUACUCAUCCGCUAAGACUCACCUCCUCCAGUUGCAAGAUGCAUUGUUGCAAGUUUCGACAGUGGGGAGUGAAGCCUCGUUACAUGUCAGCAUCAAUUGGAAAAUGCAUCCUGAUGUUGGAAAUGCUGAUAUAUAUAUUUAAAGAGGACAUACUGUCCCCCACUGUCACUGGUGCCCCUAGUUCAUCCUUUGCUCCCAGUGCCCACCACAGGACCCGACUCAAAGGCAUCAGUGUUUGAUGAGUGAAUGAAUGAGUGAAUGAGCUCUUGGAACACAUGGGUUUUGGGGUGGAACAAGGCCAGAUGCCACAACAUGAAGCCUCUAACCUCCUCUCCCCACAGCCCUGUCCUGACUCCUCUGGACUGC
This 1234-nucleotide long non-coding RNA is filed under the name Homo sapiens (human). RNAcentral describes it as "HSALNT0177174". The record is from RNAcentral. Lineage: Eukaryota; Metazoa; Chordata; Mammalia; Primates; Hominidae.